This 486-nucleotide ribosomal RNA is filed under the name Chrysoperla defreitasi. Its description in RNAcentral is "partial 16S ribosomal RNA". It matches the Rfam family "Bacterial large subunit ribosomal RNA", at positions 1836 to 2577 of the family's 2925-position model. Lineage: Eukaryota; Metazoa; Arthropoda; Insecta; Neuroptera; Chrysopidae. The record is from RNAcentral.
GUUUAAAAUAUAAAGUCUAACCUGCCCACUGAUUAAUUAUUAAAGGGCCGCGGUAUUUUGACUGUGCAAAGGUAGCAUAAUCAUUUGUCUCUUAAUUGGAGGCUGGAAUGAAUGGUUGAAUGAAAUAUUAACUGUCUCAUUUUUAAAAUUAUAAAAAUUUAGCUUUUAAGUCAAAAGGCUUAAAUAAAUUUAGAGGACGAGAAGACCCUAUAGAUCUUUAUAUUUUUAUUAUAUUUUAUAAAAUAGUAAAAUAAUAAAUAAAAUUAAUAAAAUUAUUUUAUUGGGGUGAUAGGAAAAUUUAAUAAACUUUUUUUACAAAUAAACAUUCAUUUAUGAUUAAUUGAUCCAUUUAUAAUGAUUAUAAGAUUAAGUUACCUUAGGGAUAACAGCGUAAUUUUUUUAGAGAGUUCUUAUCGAUAAAAAAGAUUGCGACCUCGAUGUUGAAUUAAAGAUUAUUUCUAGAUGUAGCAGUUUAGAGUUUAGGUC